This 422-nucleotide ribosomal RNA is filed under the name uncultured archaeon. Its description in RNAcentral is "partial 16S ribosomal RNA". It matches the Rfam family "Archaeal small subunit ribosomal RNA", at positions 323 to 746 of the family's 1478-position model. The record is from RNAcentral.
CUACGGGCUGCUGCAGCUACGAAAACUUUACACUACGCGAAAGCGUGAUAAGGGGAUCCUACGUGCCCAUGCAUUGCAUGGGCUUUUGUCAAGAGUAAAAUUCUUGGCGAAUAAGUGGUGGGCAAGACUGGUGCCAGCAGCCGCGGUAACACCAGCGCCACGAGUGGGGGCCGUGAUUAUUGGGUCUAAAGCGUCCGUAGCCUGUUCGGUAAAUCUUCUGUGAAAUCGUGGGUCUCAAGCUCACGGCGCGCAGGAGACACUGCCGAACUAGAGACCGGGAGGGGUAGGAGGUAUUCCGUGGGGAGCGGUAAAAUGCUAUAAUCCUCGGAGGACCAACUGUGGCGUAGGCGUCCUACUGGAACGGGUCUGACGGUGAGGGACGAAAGCCAGGGGAGCAAACCGGAUUAGAUACCCUGGUAGUC